UACGUAGGGUGCAAGCGUUAAUCGGAAUUACUGGGCGUAAAGCGUGCGCAGGCGGUUUUGCAAGACCGAUGUGAAAUCCCCGGGCUCAACCUGGGAACUGCAUUUGUGACUGCAUAGCUGGAGUGCGGCAGAGGGGGAUGGAAUUCCGCGUGUAGCAGUGAAAUGCGUAGAUAUGCGGAGGAACACCGAUGGCGAAGGCAAUCCCCUGGGCCUGCACUGACGCUCAUGCACGAAAGCGUGGGGAGCAAACAGG
Molecule: ribosomal RNA, 253 nt
Filed under: uncultured bacterium
Lineage: Bacteria
Description: partial 16S ribosomal RNA
Rfam family: Bacterial small subunit ribosomal RNA
Source: RNAcentral